AAAUCCGUUGGCUUUAUUGACCGUGAGGGUUCAAGUCCCUCUACUCCCA
Molecule: transfer RNA, 49 nt
Filed under: Bryoxiphium norvegicum
Lineage: Eukaryota; Viridiplantae; Streptophyta; Bryopsida; Bryoxiphiales; Bryoxiphiaceae
Also listed under: 2 other names
Description: partial tRNA-Leu
Source: RNAcentral